This 430-nucleotide ribosomal RNA is filed under the name Pseudomonadota bacterium. Its description in RNAcentral is "Proteobacteria bacterium partial 16S ribosomal RNA". It matches the Rfam family "Bacterial small subunit ribosomal RNA", at positions 355 to 776 of the family's 1533-position model. The record is from RNAcentral. Lineage: Bacteria; Pseudomonadati; Pseudomonadota.
UGGGGAAUAUUGGACAAUGGGGGGAACCCUGAUCCAGCCAUGCCGCGUGUGUGAAGAAGGCCUUAUGGUUGUAAAGCACUUUAAGCGAGGAGGAGGGUACUGGUAUUAAUACUACCAGGUACUGGACGUUACUCGCAGAAUAAGCACCGGCUAACUCUGUGCCAGCAGCCGCGGUAAUACAGAGGGUGCGAGCGUUAAUCGGAUUUACUGGGCGUAAAGCGUGCGUAGGCGGCUAAUUGAGUCGGAUGUGAAAUCCCCGGGCUUAACUUGGGAAAUGCAUUCGAUACUGGUUAGCUAGAGUGUGGGAGAGGAUGGUGGAAUUCCAGGUGUAGCGGUGAAAUGCGUAGAGAUCUGGAGGAAUACCGAUGGCGAAGGCAGCCAUCUGGCCUAACACUGACGCUGAGGUACGAAAGCAUGGGGAGCAAACAGG